This is a long non-coding RNA of Rosa chinensis, 290 nucleotides long. RefSeq lists it as uncharacterized. The record is from RefSeq and is a predicted model, not a curated record. NCBI's taxonomy places the organism in Eukaryota, Viridiplantae, Streptophyta, Magnoliopsida, Rosales, Rosaceae. The transcript is spliced from 3 exons.
CUUAUCAAUGUAAUCUGAAAACCAAAUGUUGAGGUUCGUAGUUAUGUUUAAUCAAGAGAGAUUGUGAGAGCAUAAUUUGAAUAAUCUUUUUAAGACUAGCUGCAUAAAUCUUCAGAUUAGUUACCAUGCCAUCUGCUAACUUCUUGAGGUGACAUCAAGAGAACAAAACAUUUCCUCGCAAAUAAUGUUGCACGGUUGCACCUACUGAGUUUAGCCAAUAGCAGGAAAUACGAUUUGGAGUCUAAUAAAAGCUUUUAUAGUUGAAUAUGAAAUGUAGACUCUUUUUUUUU